CGGCGGACGGGUGAGUAACGCGUGGGUAACCUGCCUUAUACAGGGGGAUAACAGUUAGAAAUGACUGCUAAUACCGCAUAAGCGCACAGUACCGCAUGGUACAGUGUGAAAAACUCCGGUGGUAUAAGAUGGACCCGCGUCUGAUUAGCCAGUUGGCGGGGUAACGGCCCACCAAAGCGACGAUCAGUAGCCGACCUGAGAGGGUGACCGGCCACAUUGGGACUGAGACACGGCCCAAACUCCUACGGGAGGCAGCAG
This 258-nucleotide ribosomal RNA is filed under the name uncultured bacterium. RNAcentral's name for it is "partial 16S ribosomal RNA". It matches the Rfam family "Bacterial small subunit ribosomal RNA", at positions 96 to 354 of the family's 1533-position model. The record is from RNAcentral.